GGAGGAAUACCGAAGUGGUCAUAACGGGGCGGUCUUGAAAACCGUUAGGGCUAACGCCCACGGGGGUUCGAAUCCCUCUUCCUCCGCCA
This 89-nucleotide transfer RNA is filed under the name Oscillospiraceae bacterium OttesenSCG-928-F05. RNAcentral describes it as "tRNA-Ser". It matches the Rfam family "tRNA". Rfam says of the family: Transfer RNA (tRNA) molecules are approximately 80 nucleotides in length. Their secondary structure includes four short double-helical elements and three loops (D, anti-codon, and T loops). Lineage: Bacteria; Bacillati; Bacillota; Clostridia; Eubacteriales; Oscillospiraceae. The record is from RNAcentral.